Molecule: ribosomal RNA, 254 nt
Filed under: uncultured bacterium
Lineage: Bacteria
Description: partial 16S ribosomal RNA
Rfam family: Bacterial small subunit ribosomal RNA
Source: RNAcentral
UACGGAGGGUGCAAGCGUUAUCCGGAUUCACUGGGUUUAAAGGGAGCGUAGGUGGGUUGGUAAGUCAGUGGUGAAAUCCCCCGAGCUUAACUUGGGAACUGCCAUUGAUACUAUCAGUCUUGAAUACUGUGGAGGUUAGCGGAAUAUGUCAUGUAGCGGUGAAAUGCUUAGAUAUGACAUAGAACACCAAUUGCGAAGGCAGCUGGCUACACAAUUAUUGACACUGAGGCUCGAAAGCGUGGGGAUCAAACAGG